UUACUAAAAUAAAAAGUGUUUUCUCCUUCCCAAAUUAUUUUUUUGUUAGACACAAUCCACUCCUCUUCUUCUCACCACAACCCACCUCUCCAUCGCCAAAGAAAAUCUCAUGGUCUUCUUCUGGUGCGAUUUCCAUUUAAGAAUCCACAUCGUCAACGUUAGACCACAUAGCGAAGGAGCUAUGUACUACUCGAAAUCCAAAUCCAGGAAUCAAGAGUUGGAGUUUUUCAAUGAGUAUGGGAUGGGGAAGCCAACAGAUACAAGAUUAUUGGAAAGGGUAGUUAUGGAGCUGUUUGUGCGGCAAUUGACACACACUGUCACACACUGGGGAAAAAGGUCGCAAUAAAGAAGAUUCAGGAUGCUUUUGAGCAUAAUUUUGCAGGUUACAAAUGAUAAUGCAAGGAAGUACUUUUUGAGAAUGCGAAAGAAACCUCCUGUGCCAUUUGAAUGAAAAUUCCCAAAUGCUAAUCCAUUGGCACUUCGCCUUUUGCAAAGGCUUUUAACCUUUGAUCCAAAGGAUCCACAGACUGUUGAACAGUGCAAUUGACCAAUUAAGAAAGCAAUUUGCUCAUCUUGAGGAAAAUGAUGGUAAAAGUGGACCGGUGCUUCCGACUGAAAGAAAGCAUGUCUCACUUCCCCGGUAAGAUCAACCAAAACCAAACACGGAGGUCUUUCCCUUUGCUGUAUUUAACAUGCUGGUUAUUGAUGUUUCAAUUACAGGUUUUAUGUCAGAAUGUUGUAGAUAACUAUUCCAAGUAGUUAUCUUAAUAGAGUAAGGCUUGCAUAGGCACAAAUCCAAAUAAUAUUUUAUUUUGGCACACACUAAUCCAAAAAUUUAAAACAAAAAUAAUAUAAUCACAUCAAUCAACAUCAUUUUAUUUCUUUUCUCUUUAAUUUUUGUUUAAUUGUGUGAGUGUGCCUAAAACCUCUUAUUUAUAUUUGUGCCUAUAACAAAAUUUUCCAUCUAAAUAUAAUCAUUCCUCUUUUGUAGGUCCACUGUUCACUCUAGUUCAAUUCUUCCAAGUUACCAGUCAUCCCUUGAUUCUAAAAGGAAUGUCAUAUAUUAGAGAACAACUUUUUUUUUAGGACAACGGAAUGAUCAUUAAAUUUUGAUUUAUUUAAUUGAUCUGAGAAACCUUGGUAUCACAAAAGAGUGCUCACAACUUUUAUGCAUUUCAAGAGUUAAUAAUUUGGAAAGUUCAUCAUUCUGUUAUUGCUUUUAUAGCUUCUUUUGGAGGUGUUUGUAUUUAAUUCAUUUUCUUAUUUUGCAAUGCUGGUUUUGACUAUGAUAUUGUAUCUUUGAAUCUUGAAGCAUCCUUCAAGAACAAUAUAGGUUCAGCCUUCGAUGACUGAAGUUGAGACAGACUCAAGCCUUCAAAAUAUUCAAAGCAUAAAUUCAGUGCCUGUAAGGUUAUUGUGCUAGAACAAGUUUGUUUCUCGCUUAUUGUGCUAGAACGAUUCAUGGUACACAAUAGGAGUUGAUAUUGUUUGUUCUUAGGCAGUUCUCUUGUUAUCAAGUAAUAAUGGUUAGUGCAAGAUAAACUAGAGGGCCAUCUUAAAGUCUCAUUCAAAAUAUUUAGAAAGUAAGCACUUGAAAUUCAUUCUUUUUCUCUUUUAACUUCAGUACAAAUUUGUUUUUGCAAUGAAAACUUAUGAUUUCUCCUCUAUUUCUACUGUUCAGACCUCAAGACUCCAAGUUGAGGUACAUAUAUUCAUUCGUAAAGAACAUAAAUCCUCAGUGCCCUGCUUUGCAUAUUUUUAGAUAUAUUUUGUUUGAAAUGCAGCAUUUACACUGCAAUUUAACUAUUGCAUGGACAUCCAACUUAAAUUUAAGAGUUUCCUAUAAAAACUAAAACAUUUUUUCACUAGGUGGAAACUUUAUAAAUUAAUUAUUAAUGAUGCUACCAUAUCAAUUGUUUGGCUUUAGCAUAUAAACCUGUCAUGCCAAUAUUGUUAGAAACUGUCUGUUGUGAAAAAAUAGUAGUGAGGAUCAGAAUCUAGAGAGUGUUUGGCUUACACAUUAUAAGAUAUAUUAUUAUUUUCUGCAUUUUGUAUUAGCAGUAAACUAGGAUUACCUUAAUAUAAUAUAAUGUCAUGUCCUUGAUUUAUUUCCCCUCAAAAGUUGUCUAGCUGAGACCACUGCUCAUUUAUAGUUCUAAACUAAUGAUAAAUUGAUAAUGAUAACAUGCAUUAUCCUUAAUUUUCUUUGCUGAAAUAUAACUACUGCAAUGGUAGAAGUCCUGCAAUCAAACGCAAUAUAGCUUUGCGGUAUUAGGUAUGUCCUGUCAUUUUUCUAGUAUCCACAAACAAAAAUCUGGUUUGUUGAGUUUUGGUGAGUUGUUGGUGGGACUGGUAUUAGGUAUGUUCUGUCAUUCACAUCACAUGGAACCCUGUUUCGGUGAGCACACUGCUAAAGGUUUUGAUGAAUGAUCCUCUAGUUACCUAUUUGUAGUUAGUGAUCUGAUGGUUCCUUAUAGUUACAUUUUGCAAAUCUCAAUAUUGUUAUCAUCUUUGAAGCCGAUUUACCUUGUUGGUGAUUCUUUAGGUGGAUGCCUUGCACUCGUUGCUGCUCGUAAUCCAACGGUUGAUCUAGUACUUAUUUUAGUCAAUCCUGGUGAGUCUAUCAAAAUUUGUUCACAUAUUUAUAUCCAUAUUGUAGUAUAUUAAAACUUUGAUUAAGCACGUUAUUAUAUUAAUUAACUAAAAAUGCAGGUAAAAGUGUGACAAAACAAGGGUUGGUAAUGACUUUUGUACAACCUGUAGUUCACAUAUAUGCAGGGAUUUUUAUAAAUUGGGUUGAAAGACUAUGAUUAUGAGGUUCUGUUGACAUAUUCCAUCAUUCCAUGCCUAAUUAAUUUCUUAGCACUGCUUUGGAUUUUGUGUAGGGCUUAUUUCUUCAGAUUAAAUUUGUUUGUAGGGAUUUUAUUAAUGCAUAUAGAUGUUUUUAUUUGAUAAAUUUCUUCCAAUUUGCAGAUUUUACAAGUUGAACAAAGGAAUGCUCUUUGAUAUAAUUUGACCUGCUCAAAAUUCUUCUUGUAAUGGAAAUUGACACAAGAUAGAGGAACCGUGAUAUUAGGUGUUAUAUCUUAGUAUUUUAGAGGCAUCUUGGUUGUAUGUUGUAGUUAGUUUUUGUAUUGUUAUAUCUUAGUAUUCACAGAUGAUACGUAAUGAUAAUUUAAUCUUGGUUAUGUUCUA
Long non-coding RNA from Trifolium pratense (red clover), 3195 nucleotides. RefSeq lists it as uncharacterized. The record is from RefSeq and is a predicted model, not a curated record. Lineage: Eukaryota; Viridiplantae; Streptophyta; Magnoliopsida; Fabales; Fabaceae. The transcript has 5 exons.